Molecule: ribosomal RNA, 400 nt
Filed under: Salpingoeca fusiformis
Lineage: Eukaryota; Choanoflagellata; Craspedida; Salpingoecidae
Description: partial small subunit ribosomal RNA
Rfam family: Eukaryotic small subunit ribosomal RNA
Source: RNAcentral
GCUUGUCUCAAAGAUUAAGCCAUGCAUGUCUUAGUGUAAAUAACUCUUAUGAAACUGCGAAUGGCUCAUUAAAUCAGUUAUCAAAUACGUGAUGGUCGCCUACUACAUGGAUAACCGUAGUAAUUCUAGAGCUAAUACAUGCGAAAAGACCCGACUUUUUGGAAGGGUUGUAUUUAUUAGAUACAAAACCAAUGCGGAGCAAUCCGGUUUGUGGUGAUUCAUAAUAACUUUGCGAAUCGCAUGGCCUUGCGCCGGCGAUGAAUCAUUCAAAUUUCUGCCCUAUCAACUUUCGAUGGUAAGGUAUUGGCCUACCAUGGUUACAACGGGUAACGGGGAAUUAGGGUUCGGUUCCGGAGAGGGCGCCUGAGAAAUGGCGACCACAUCCAAGGAAGGCAGCAGG